RNAcentral lists this long non-coding RNA (704 nucleotides) under Vigna radiata. RNAcentral's name for it is "long non-coding RNA (VRAD_LNC003054)". The record is from RNAcentral. Lineage: Eukaryota; Viridiplantae; Streptophyta; Magnoliopsida; Fabales; Fabaceae.
UGAAAUGUAAGAAAUAAAUAAUAAAAUAAUCAAUGCUUGAAUAACAUAAAUUGCAACACGUAACUUAAUAAUAAAGAAAGAAAACAAUGAUUAAAAUGCCGUGUAGCUUUGGAGUCAAACAUUCAAUGCAAAGUGCUGAGUAAAAUUGGAAUGCAAUGAUUUAGCAAUUGUAAUUAAUACUAUUAAAAUGAUAUUAAGCUAGAAAAAAAAAACUCAUCACGGAUACAGUGCAAAGAAAAGACGUAAACAGUAAAGGANCCAAAUGCACUUUGGGGCUAUUCCUCUUUGACAUNACAGCUACAAAUUUCUUCAAAAAUGAAAUGUGAAAAUCUAAAGGAAAUGAAUCAUUGCUGCAACGAAACAAUCACCUUUCCUCCAACCAAAUGAAAGAGAGUNCACAUGAAAAUAUAUGUAAACGUCCCCGUGUUUGUGUGCUGUUCAAAAAUAAUGAUCCUCUCCAUUUCAUCCUUGCCUCUCAACAAUGUUUAAUAAAAGCUAAAAAUAAAAAGAAAGCAGUGGCUGCAAGCUAAGGUCGUAGCACCCUCUUUCAUCCAAACUCCAUUAACGCAAACAUGGUUCUAUUUUUCCAAGCUUCNCCUUCAAGUGACGGCUUCUUCCCCUCAUGUAACAGUGCCCUACAUGAAAGACACUUGAAUUCCAUGGGCUGCUGCUGGGCCGAGACACUCCCUGCUAGGUCCGUGAAG